GCGCUUCCGGCAGCUGCCCUGGGCCGGGGGUGUGCGCCCUUCCCUGGGUGCAGGAGGACCUGCGCGCGAAAGGCGCGCGCGGGAGCAGUUCUCUAGUACUGCCCUGCCCACCAUGGCCAAACCAACAAGCAAAGAUUCCGGCUUGAAGGAGAAGUUCAAGAUACUGUUGGGAUUGGGAACAUCGAGGCCAAAUCCCAGGUGUGCAGAAGGCAAACAGACUGAGUUUAUCAUCACAUCGGAAAUCUUGAGAGAACUGAGUGGUGAAUGCGGCCUCAACAAUCGCAUCCGAAUGAUAGGGCAGAUCUGUGAUGUGGCAAAAACUAAGAAGCUUGAGGAGCAUGCAGUGGAGGCACUUUGGAAGGCUGUCUCAGACUUGCUACAGCCAGAGCGGCCACCAGAGGCCCGGCAUGCAGUUCUCACCUUAUUGAAGGCCAUUGUACAGGGACAGGGUGAUCGUUUGGGAGUUCUCAGAGCCCUCUUCUUCAAAGUGAUCAAGGACUACCCCUCCAAUGAAGACCUCCAUGAAAGGCUAGAAGUUUUUAAGGCCCUCACAGACAAUGGGAGGCACAUUACCUAUUUGGAAGAAGAACUGGCAGAGUUUGUCCUGCAGUGGAUGGAUGUUGGCUUGUCCUCAGAAUUCCUUCUGGUACUUGUCAACCUGGUCAAGUUCAACAGCUGUUACCUUGACGAAUACAUUGCAUCAAUGGUUCACAUGAUUUGUCUGCUAUGCAUCCGGACAGUGUCCUCUGUGGACAUUGAGGUGUCCUUGCAAGUGCUGGAUGCUGUGGUCUGCUACAACUGCUUACCAGCCGAGAGCCUGCCUCUGUUCAUUAUCACCCUGUGCCGCACCAUCAAUGUCAAGGAGCUGUGUGAGCCUUGCUGGAAGUUGAUGCGUAACCUUCUGGGCACCCACCUGGGCCACAGCGCCAUCUACAACAUGUGCCGCAUCAUGGAGGACAGAUCCUACAUGGAAGAUGCCCCACUGCUGAGAGGAGCUGUGUUCUUUGUAGGGAUGGCACUCUGGGGAGCUCACCGGCUCUACUCUCUCAAGAACUCCCCCACAUCUGUGCUGCCGUCUUUUUAUGAGGCUAUGACCUGUCCCAAUGAGGUGGUGUCAUAUGAGAUUGUUCUGUCCAUAACAAGACUCAUCAAGAAGUAUAGGAAGGAGCUCCAGGCUGUGACAUGGGAUAUUCUGCUGGACAUCAUUGAACGACUACUUCAGCAACUCCAGAACCUGGACAGCCCGGAACUCAAGACCAUCGUCCAUGACCUGCUGACCACUGUGGAGGAGCUAUGUGACCAGAACGAGUUCCAUGGCUCGCAGGAAAGAUACUAUGAACUGGUGGAGAGCUAUGCAGACCAGAGACCUGAAUCCUCUCUCUUAAACUUGAUAUCCUACAGAGCCCAGUCCAUCCACCCUGCCAAGGAUGGCUGGAUCCAGAACUUGCAGUUGUUGAUGGAGAGGUUCUUCAGGAAUGAGUGCCGCAGCGCCGUGCGCAUCAAGGUGUUGGAUGUUCUGUCCUUCGUGCUGCUGAUCAACAGGCAGUUCUAUGAGGAGGAGCUGAUUAACUCGGUGGUCAUCUCGCAGCUCUCCCACAUUCCCGAGGAUAAGGACCAUCAGGUCCGAAAGCUGGCUACUCAGCUGCUGGUGGACCUGGCAGAGGGGUGCCACACCCACCACUUCAACAGUCUGCUGGACAUCAUUGAAAAGGUGAUGGCGCGCUCACUCUCUCCACCCCCGGAGCUGGAAGAAAGGGACCUGGCCAUGCACUCGGCCUCCCUGGAGGACGUGAAGACCGCGGUCCUGGGGCUCCUGGUCAUCCUUCAGACCAAGCUCUACACCUUGCCUGCCAGCCACGCCACUCGAGUGUAUGAGAGCCUCAUUAGUCACAUCCAGCUCCAUUACAAGCACGGCUACUCCCUGCCCAUUGCUAGCAGCAUCCGACUACAGGCCUUUGACUUCCUGCUGCUACUGCGGGCUGACUCGCUGCAUCGACUGGGCCUGCCCAACAAGGAUGGGGUCGUGAGAUUCAGCCCUUACUGCCUCUGUGACUGCAUGGAACUGGAUAGAGCCUCAGAGAAGAAAGCCAGUGGGCCCCUUUCACCUCCAACUGGGCCCCCUAGCCCUGUGCCUAUGGGCCCUGCUGUGCGGCUCGGCUACCUACCCUACUCCCUGCUCUUCCGUGUCCUGUUGCAGUGUUUGAAGCAGGAGAGCGACUGGAAGGUGCUGAAGCUGGUGCUCAGCAGGCUGCCGGAGUCACUGCGCUACAAAGUCCUCAUCUUCACCUCCCCCUGCAGUGUCGACCAGCUGUCUUCUGCCCUCUGCUCCAUGCUUUCAGCUCCAAAGACCCUUGAGCGGCUCCGAGGUACCCCAGAAGGCUUCUCGAGAACUGACCUGCACUUGGCUGUGGUUCCCGUGCUAACAGCAUUAAUAUCUUAUCACAACUAUUUGGACAAGACCAGACAGCGUGAGAUGGUGUACUGCCUGGAACAAGGCCUUAUCUACCGCUGCGCCAGCCAGUGCGUGGUAGCCUUGGCCAUCUGCAGUGUGGAGAUGCCCGACAUCAUCAUCAAGGCGCUUCCUGUCCUGGUGGUGAAGCUCACACACAUUUCUGCCACAGCCAGCAUGGCCAUCCCGCUCCUGGAGUUCCUGUCUACUUUGGCCAGGCUGCCCCACCUCUACAGGAACUUUGCUGCAGAGCAGUAUGCCAGCGUGUUUGCCAUCUCCUUGCCAUACACCAACCCCUCCAAGUUCAACCAGUACAUUGUGUGUCUGGCUCACCACGUCAUAGCCAUGUGGUUCAUCAGGUGCCGACUGCCCUUUCGGAAGGAUUUCGUCCCUUAUAUCACUAAGGGUUUGCGUUCCAAUGUCCUCCUGUCUUUUGAUGAUACCCCUGAGAAGGACAGUUUCAGAGCACGGAGCACCAGUCUUAAUGAGAGACCCAAAAGUUUGAGGAUAGCCAGAGCCCCCAAACAAGGCCUGAAUAACUCUCCACCUGUGAAAGAAUUCAAAGAGAGCUGUGCAGCCGAGGCCUUCCGGUGCCGCAGCAUCAGUGUAUCUGAACAUGUGGUCCGCAGCAGAAUACAGACAUCCCUUACGAGCGCCAGCCUGGGGUCUGCGGAUGAGAACUCUAUGGCCCAGGCUGAUGACAACUUGAAGAAUCUCCACUUGGAGCUCACAGAAACAUGUCUGGACAUGAUGGCCCGAUAUGUGUUCUCCAAUUUCACUGCAGUCCCCAAGAGGUCCCCUGUGGGAGAGUUCCUCCUGGCAGGGGGUAGGACCAAAACCUGGCUGGUUGGAAACAAGCUUGUCACUGUGACAACAAGUGUGGGAACUGGUACACGGUCGCUGCUGGGCCUGGACUCUGGGGACCUGCAGGGUGGCUCGGAUUCAAGCUCUGAUCCUAGCACACAUGUGAGGCAGACAAAGGAAGCACCGGCCAAACUGGAGUCCCAGGCUGGGCAGCAGGUGUCCCGUGGGGCCCGGGACCGGGUCCGCUCCAUGUCAGGGGGCCAUGGCCUUCGAGUUGGUGUCCUGGAUACUUCAGCUCCCUAUUCCCCAGGUGGCUCUGCUUCUCUGGGACCACAGACGGCGGUGGCAGCGAAGCCCGAGAAGCCCCCUGCAGGAGCCCAGCUUCCAACAGCAGAGAAGACGAAUCUGGCAGCCUAUGUGCCUUUGUUAACCCAGGGCUGGGCAGAAAUCUUAGUCCGCAGACCCACAGGAAACACCAGCUGGCUGAUGAGCUUGGAGAACCCGCUCAGCCCCUUCUCCUCAGACAUCAACAACAUGCCCCUGCAAGAGCUGUCCAAUGCCCUUAUGGCUGCUGAACGUUUCAAGGAGCACCGGGACACGGCCCUGUACAAGUCAUUGUCAGUGCCAGCGGCUGGCACCGCCAAGCCUCCUACUCUCCCACGCUCUAAUACAGUGGCUUCUUUCUCCUCCCUGUACCAGCCCAGCUGCCAAGGACAGCUGCACAGGAGCGUUUCCUGGGCAGACUCAGCCAUGGUCCUUGAGGAGGGAAGUCCAGGAGAGACUCAGGUGCCAGUGGAGCCCCCCGAAUUGGAGGAUUUCGAGGCGGCGUUAGGUACAGACAGGCACUGCCAGCGGCCUGACACCUACAGCCGGUCAUCCUCAGCAUCUAGCCAGGAAGAAAAGUCCCAUUUGGAGGAGCUUGCUGCAGGGGGUAUCCCCAUUGAGCGGGCCAUCUCCUCUGAGGGGGCUCGGCCUGCCGUGGACCUCUCCUUCCAACCCUCACAGCCUUUGAGCAAGUCUAGCUCUUCUCCGGAGUUGCAGACCUUACAGGACAUCCUUGGAGACCUAGGGGACAAGAUUGAUAUUGGACGGCUGAGUCCUGAGGCUAAGGUCCGGUCCCAGUCAGGGAUCCUGGAUGGGGAAGCAGCUACCUGGUCAGCUACGGGUGAAGAGAGCCGUAUCACAGUCCCACCUGAAGGUCCUCUGCCUUCCAGUUCUCCCCGCUCCCCCAGUGGCCUCCGGCCCCGAGGCUAUACCAUCUCUGAUUCCGCUCCAUCACGAAGGGGAAAGAGGGUAGAAAGGGAUAACUUCAAGAGCAGAGCUGCGGCCUCCAGUGCUGAGAAGGUGCCAGGCAUCAACCCUAGCUUUGUGUUCCUACAGCUCUACCAUUCGCCCUUUUUUGGUGAUGAGUCCAAUAAGCCCAUCCUAUUGCCCAAUGAGUCCUUUGAACGGUCAGUACAGCUGCUUGACCAGAUUCCAUCCUAUGACACUCACAAGAUUGCUGUCCUGUAUGUGGGAGAAGGCCAGAGCAGCAGUGAGCUGGCCAUCCUGUCAAAUGAGCAUGGCUCUUACAGGUACACGGAGUUUCUGACAGGCCUGGGUCGGCUUAUUGAGCUCAAGGACUGCCAACCAGACAAGGUGUACUUAGGUGGACUGGAUGUAUGUGGCGAGGAUGGACAGUUCACCUACUGCUGGCAUGAUGACAUCAUGCAAGUCCAGUGUCACCCACUCUACAGCUGUUUUCCACAUUGCCACCCUGAUGCCCACCAAGGAUGUGGACAAGCACCGCUGUGACAAGAAACGGCACCUGGGCAAUGACUUUGUUUCUAUCAUCUACAAUGAUUCUGGUGAGGACUUCAAACUGGGCACCAUUAAGGGCCAGUUCAACUUUGUCCAUGUGAUCAUCACACCGCUGGACUACAAGUGCAACCUAUUGACCCUGCAGUGCAGGAAAGACAUGGAAGGCCUCGUGGACACCAGUGUGGCCAAGAUUGUGUCUGACCGCAACCUGUCCUUUGUGGCCCGACAGAUGGCCCUGCAUGCAAAUAUGGCCUCACAGGUACACCACAGCCGAUCCAACCCCACUGACAUCUAUCCCUCCAAGUGGAUCGCAAGACUCCGCCACAUUAAGCGUCUCCGCCAGAGGAUCCGUGAAGAGGUGCACUAUUCCAACCCAAGCUUGCCUCUGAUGCACCCUCCAGCCCACACCAAAGCCCCAGCUCAAGCCCCUGAGGCUACACCCACCUAUGAAACAGGCCAGCGGAAGCGCCUCAUUUCCUCCGUGGAUGACUUCACAGAGUUUGUGUGAGGCCAGCAGAUCCAUGACUAGAGUCCUGUGGCCAGCCAUGUAGCUAUCCUGACUGUACUCCUACAUGAAAUAAACUGCACACGCACAUCUGGCCCGUGGAGUUCAGAGAGCAGCACAGACAGCAGUCAGACAGCUUCUUUAUUUGACUUUGUCUUGUCUGUUUGGGGUUGGGGCAGAAUCCAGGCUAGAGCUGCAGAUGAGCCCACAGAAGCAGGCAGGUGCCAUCACAUACAUUCUCUUUCCCCCACCCGCCAUGGGGGCAAGCCCCAUUGGUGGGCUUGUCCAGUAACUUCUUGGCAUCUUUCAUCCCACAGUAGUCCUGCCCUUGCUCAGAUCUGAAACCAGCAGAUCUGCGUGCUGCCUGGCCCCAGACAAGGGAGGAAAACAAGGCCACGGUGGCCCCAAUUGCUGUCCAGCACCUGCCCGAGGCCAGACUCGGAUCCAGUAAUAGCUGCAGCUUCCCCUGUACCCCUGCCCUGGGUAACAAUGGACCCAUUUUCAGCCCAAGUAGAAAAUACUGACAUACAAAAAUAUAUACAUUUUAACCCCAUAUAAAUUAUUGAUGGUGGACAUAGAAAGCAGAUGGUAGCUAGAGGGCAAGUAUGCUGCAGAAACAAGAGAGGUAAUAACUUAGGGGACGGAUAAAGGAGAAGUGUAGCUUAGCCCUCCCUCCAGCUUAGAUUUUUAGCAAGAGGAGAUGGCCACCUAGGGGUAGAGCUGGGCGCAGCCCGCUGAACCUGAGGACUUGGGGGGAGGGGGGGCGAAUAAAUUAGCAUCUUGGAGGCUGGGUA
Molecule: RNA transcript, 6352 nt
Organism: Mus musculus (house mouse)
Lineage: Eukaryota; Metazoa; Chordata; Mammalia; Rodentia; Muridae
Gene: Tsc2
Gene name: TSC complex subunit 2
Exons: 42
Source: RefSeq, marked validated